Molecule: long non-coding RNA, 856 nt
Filed under: Mus spicilegus (steppe mouse)
Lineage: Eukaryota; Metazoa; Chordata; Mammalia; Rodentia; Muridae
Description: lncRNA (ENSMSIG00000024825.1)
Source: RNAcentral
GGGAGGGGCUGUUCUCAGGCGCUGAAUUGCAGUUUACGGGUUUUUUUUUUUUUUUUUUUUUUUUUAAUACAAUUGAAGCAGUAUUUCUGGUAAGAAAAGUUAUUAGGUGUUUAUGGAUGUUUCAAAAGACCAGGGGACGGGGGAAAUGCAGAUCCCAUGUUAAAAUGUACACCUGGGGACUCUUUAACACUUUGAACAGAACCCAAGUUGGGAGGGCAUGAGCUCCUUAAAGUGGUAGUUGUUUCUACUGGGGGAGGGGGUGCUCGUUGGAUGCUGCCCACGAGCACAGGAUUGCCAGGAGCAGCCCCAGGGAGGAUGAGUUAGCUCGGGGGCCAGUGGAUUUACAUCAGAAAGCAGCGGCAUGCAGGCUAGGAGGACUUCCUCCCUCCUAUGCAGAAAAAAAAAAGCCAGAGGGAGGAGAAGAACACAGAAGUAAGGCACAGGGUGAUGCUGGAACAACUGUAGUCCCUGGAGAGAAGGAGGAGAUAAUUUGGUUUCAUGGCAUACAUUUUUUUUUAUGGUUCACUGUGGCUUCGGCUAGCUGCUGCAGUGCAGAAUGUCUCCCCGGAAUAUCCCCAAUGCCCGACACGCUGAUGUAAGCCGUGAUGGGAGGAACACAUAAGGUCUCUGACCACAAACUUAUAGCGAGUAUUGUCCCAGCAAAGAGGGUUUCAGGUGGGUCAUGGUGCGAGGAGAUGAGAUGAAAUCCUACUGCUCAAAUAUGAAAGAAAUGUCAGUGAGGCUUUCAAAAAAAUGUUACGUCAAUCUGAAAAUAAUAUAUGAACUUAGCAAUAGUAAGCUAAGAUAAUGACAAGAUAUUUCUAAACUGCCAAUAAAAACCAUCUAAGUCAAUUCA